CUCAUUAAUCAAAAAGCACAGACAGCUUACUUGAGUAGAUUUGUUCGGAGGUAGGAUGAAACAACUAGCCAAAUACAAUUGCGAGUUUUCCACAGCAAAGUGAAGCACAAGGAAGCAAUUCAUCAUUCAGAAGUAAGGUACGUCCAUUAUGAAUCCGAGUACUAGGCCGAUACGGCAUGCCUACAUGUCCAAUUGAACUAUGAGCUAGAAGUCUUUUGACUUUCGUUUGGGCCCAAAGAUGCUCCUCUACAUCUUAGAAUGUCGGUAUCGAAGAAAGACAGAAAUAUGGGUUAAUAAAAAGUUCCCAACAGAGAUAGAUGGUACCAUGGCAGGCGAGGGAGAUCCAUAAAUGAAAGACGAGAGCAAGGCUCUCUCCUCAGAGGUUUUUUCUCGCUAGCUGCUUUUACGCCGAAGAACAUCAGAAGACGAAGGUACUGUUUGGUUCUGGGUUUAUCUUUCGGGUCUCAAUCGGACGAGUUUUGGGGGGUAAUACUGGCGGUUGAAACGUUGAGUUGAC
This 517-nucleotide long non-coding RNA is filed under the name Olea europaea subsp. europaea. The record is from RNAcentral. Lineage: Eukaryota; Viridiplantae; Streptophyta; Magnoliopsida; Lamiales; Oleaceae.